UGGCGGAAUAGCUCAGCUGGCUAGAGCAUACGGUUCAUACCCGUAGUGUCAGGGGUUCGACUCCCUUUUCCGCUAG
Molecule: transfer RNA, 76 nt
Filed under: Clostridia bacterium
Lineage: Bacteria; Bacillati; Bacillota; Clostridia
Description: tRNA-Met
Rfam family: tRNA
About the family: Transfer RNA (tRNA) molecules are approximately 80 nucleotides in length. Their secondary structure includes four short double-helical elements and three loops (D, anti-codon, and T loops).
Source: RNAcentral